UUUUACCACCCACACAUAUUCAUCUUUUCUCCCAACACACACAUUCUUUCUUUCUCUCUCAAGUAUAUACACAAAAACACGAAAAAAAAUUCGAUUCAUAUUUUUCUCUCAAAAACACAAAAAUAUUUCCUCAUUUUCCUAUCUUUCUCUCCAAAAAAUAAACAAAAAGUACACAUUUUUCCUCCUCUUCCUUUCCUCAAAUACACAAAUUCACAAAAAAAAAAACACAUUUUAGUCAUCCAUACAUAUACUUUUCUUAUUUCUCAUCUCUCUCGAAUACACAAAUACACACACAUAUUUUUCUUAUAAAAACACACAAUACAUUUUUUAUAAAACAUAUACACAUUUUUCAUCCUCACAUAUUUUUCUUUCUCUCUCAAACACAUAUUUUUCAGUACACACAUAUAUUCUUCACCGGACAUACUUUUAUCAUACAAAUAUUUUGUUCAUCUUUCUUUUUUUCUCAGAAACAUACACAUAUAUUCAAAAUAAACACUCAACAGAUGACAUUAUCGCACCAUCGGAUAUUUGAGGCUACCCCAUAACAAAAUAUGGAUUUUUAUUUUUCAAAGUUUACUUAUUUUAUAUCAAAAUAUUUUUGACCGAUGA
This 609-nucleotide long non-coding RNA is filed under the name Capsicum annuum. Its description in RNAcentral is "long non-coding RNA (CANN_LNC019611)". The record is from RNAcentral. Lineage: Eukaryota; Viridiplantae; Streptophyta; Magnoliopsida; Solanales; Solanaceae.